GACGCCUCCCUCCGCGCAUUGGACGCUUUGCCACCCGCCCGCCUUCCAGCCACUGCAGGUGCCAAGAUCGGCCAGUUUCGGAGAGAGCCAGGGCACUGAGCGGCGAACCGGAGGGACCCCCUGGAUGCAAUCCAGCUCAACUGUGGCUGAGAAAACAUACCCUGUACUUCCCAGAGCUGUUAAUCUGCUCAACUCUUAGGCAGAUACUGUAAGUUGUGGUUAUGUUGGGAAAUUCAGGACCCUAUUUCCAAGGAGAGUUGUGCGGAACGUGUGUAUGUUUGUUAUUUUCAAAAUCAAGCAAACGAAA
This is a long non-coding RNA of Ictidomys tridecemlineatus (thirteen-lined ground squirrel), 307 nucleotides long. RefSeq lists it as uncharacterized. NCBI's taxonomy places the organism in Eukaryota, Metazoa, Chordata, Mammalia, Rodentia, Sciuridae. The record is from RefSeq and is a predicted model, not a curated record.